This is a long non-coding RNA of Cucumis melo (muskmelon), 667 nucleotides long. RefSeq lists it as uncharacterized. The record is from RefSeq and is a predicted model, not a curated record. The transcript is spliced from 2 exons. Lineage: Eukaryota; Viridiplantae; Streptophyta; Magnoliopsida; Cucurbitales; Cucurbitaceae.
UUUUCUCGAAAGAAAAAUAAUUCUCUUUUGCCUGAUUAUUUUGUCAAAACUACCGUAUUUUUCCAAUUAACCCCAAACCAUCAAUCAAAUGAUUGCAUCAAUAUCUCGUACGAUGUCGUUUUUGUAUGGUAGCUGAAGCCGGCGUUAAAAGAAAGAGCUUAAAAUCACAAGCGAAUGAGCUCAACUUUUGUGGAAGUAGAAGACUCAUUGAAUUGAUUGAAAGAACAAAGCUCCGAUAAAAAAAAAUGGCGAUAACUCUUAACAGUGGGUUCAAGAUGCCAGUGAUCGGGCUUGGAGUUUGGCGUAUGGAGAAGCAACCAAGUCAGAGACCUCAUUAUCAACGCCAUUAAGAUUGGUUAUCGCCAUUUUGACUGCGCCCCUGAUUACAAAAAAUGAAGCUGAAGCUGGGGAGGCGUUAGCAGAAGCUUUUAAGAGUGGACUUGUUAAGAGGGAAGAACUUUUCAUUACCACAAAAGUGAGUUUGAUUUUGAAUUCUUAUUUCUCUGCAUUUGAAUCCUUCUUUACGUUCAAACAGUUGGGAGCUUCAGGAUGAGUUUGUAUGAUUUUGUAAGGACAAGAAUUGCUUUUAGCCAAUUAUAAUUUUCACGAUCGAUAGAUAUUGAAAAUUUUAAAAAUGCUUCUAAAAGAAACAUUUAGUCCCCAUGUC